CGGGGCCGGAAUUAUCCAGGGCGCCUGCACGGUCGAACAGAACUGUAAAAAAAAGAAAAUUGCUGUCCAGCUUCUGUUCCAUCUUUCUGUGCAUCUGCUGCUGGACAUCAUUGAGAAUGAUUUGGAGGUACUUUAGCCGCUUAAAGCUGCUUGCAAGAUCAAGGAUUUUAAUUCCCAGUCUUGAGACUGAGUCAUUGAGAAUUGCUCACUGAAGUCACCAAUGGUGAGUGAAACCUUCACAACUUCAUCAUUUGCCCCAGCAAAAGUAAAAAUAACAGAGAACAAAAGAAAUAAAAAUUGUAGAAGGCAAUUCGCACUGGUUGUAUAGAUCAUAUGAGAGUAAGGACGCAAUACAGUCUAAUGGAGUAAUCCACUGACUCAAGACUCAAGGUAACUUUAUU
This 401-nucleotide long non-coding RNA is filed under the name Dromaius novaehollandiae (emu). RNAcentral's name for it is "lncRNA (ENSDNVG00000003328.1)". The record is from RNAcentral. Lineage: Eukaryota; Metazoa; Chordata; Aves; Casuariiformes; Dromaiidae.